GGUAAACGCUGGCGGCGUGCCUAAAACAUGCAAGUCGAACGGACCGUCUCUUUCGGGAGGCGGUCAGUGGCAGACGGCUGAGUAACGCGUGGGUGACGUACCUGUUGGUGGGGAAUAACUGCCCGAAAGGGUGGCUAAUACCGCAUAGGUCCCUUGGUUCAGUGUGAGGGACAAAGCUUCGCAAGAGGCGCCAAUGGAGCGGCCCGCGUCCGAUUAGCUGGUUGGUGGGGUAACGGCCUACCAAGGCGUCGAUCGGUAGCUGGUCUCAGAGGAUGAU
Molecule: ribosomal RNA, 277 nt
Filed under: uncultured bacterium
Lineage: Bacteria
Description: partial 16S ribosomal RNA
Rfam family: Bacterial small subunit ribosomal RNA
Source: RNAcentral